RNAcentral lists this ribosomal RNA (493 nucleotides) under uncultured bacterium. RNAcentral's name for it is "partial 16S ribosomal RNA". It matches the Rfam family "Bacterial small subunit ribosomal RNA", at positions 28 to 506 of the family's 1533-position model. The record is from RNAcentral.
GACGAACGCUGGCGGCGUGCUUAACACAUGCAAGUCGAACGGUGAAGCGCCUUCCUUUUUGGUGGGUGUGGAUGAGUGGCGAACGGGUGAGUAACACGUGAGUAACCUGCCCCCUUCUUCUGGAUAACCGCAUGAAAGUGUGGCUAAUACGGGAUAUUCUGGGUCUGUCGCAUGAUGGGUCUGGGAAAGAUAUUGUUUCGGUGGGGGAUGGGCUCGCGGCCUAUCAGCUUGUUGGUGGGGUGAUGGCCUACUAAGGCGGUGACGGGUAGCCGGCCUGAGAGGGUGGACGGUCACACUGGGACUGAGACACGGCCCAGACUCCUACGGGAGGCAGCAGUGGGGAAUAUUGCACAAUGGGCGCAAGCCUGAUGCAGCGACGCCGCGUGAGGGAUGGAGGCCUUCGGGUUGUGAACCUCUUUCGCCAGUGAAGCAGGCCUGCCUCGUUUGUGGGUGGGUUGACGGUAGCUGGAUAAGAAGCGCCGGCUAACUACGU